Non-coding RNA from Salmo salar (Atlantic salmon), 58 nucleotides. Lineage: Eukaryota; Metazoa; Chordata; Actinopteri; Salmoniformes; Salmonidae. The record is from Rfam.
UGGCUCAGUUGGUAGAGCAUGGUGCUUGCAAAGCCAGGGUUGUGGGUUCGAUUCCCAU